CCUACGGGAGGCAGCAGUUGGGAAUUUUGCACAAUGGACGAAAGUCUGAUGCAGCAACGCCGCGUGCGGGAUGAAGAUUUUCGGAUUGUAAACCGCUUUUAUUUGGGAGUAACUGUUUGAACGUACCAAAUGAAUAAGUACCGGCUAACUCCGUGCCAGCAGCCGCGGUAAUACGGAGGGUGCAAACGUUGUCCGGAAUUACUGGGCGUAAAGCGCAUGUAGGUGGUCUAAUAAGUGAACGAUUAAAUACCGACGCUUAACGUCGGAAAGGUUAUUCAUACUGUUAGACUCGAGGAAGACAGGGGCAGAUGGAACUUUAAGUGUAGGAGUGAUAUCCGUAGAUAUUUAAAGGAACACCAAUGGCGAAGGCAGUCUGCUGGGUCUUUUCUGACACUGAGAUGCGAAAGUGUGGGGAGCAAACGGGAUUAGAUACCCCGGUAGUCCACACUGUAAACGAUGCUCACUAGGUCUUGGAGGGUAUCGACCCCCUUUUGGACCGAAGCUAACGCGUUAAGUGAGCCGCCUGGGGAGUACGAACGCAAGUUUAAAACUCAAAGGAAUUGACGG
RNAcentral lists this ribosomal RNA (567 nucleotides) under uncultured bacterium. RNAcentral describes it as "bacterial SSU rRNA". It matches the Rfam family "Bacterial small subunit ribosomal RNA", at positions 338 to 916 of the family's 1533-position model. The record is from RNAcentral.